Molecule: transfer RNA, 62 nt
Filed under: Parasarpa zayla
Lineage: Eukaryota; Metazoa; Arthropoda; Insecta; Lepidoptera; Nymphalidae
Description: tRNA-Cys
Source: RNAcentral
AGUCUUAUAUUCAAUAAUGAUAUAAAAUUGCAAAUUUUAAGGUGUAAUAAAUACUAAGGCUU